AGCGUACACGGUGGAUGCCCUGGCAGUCAGAGGCGAUGAAGGACGUGCUAAUCUGCGAUAAGCGUCGGUAAGGUGAUAUGAACCGUUAUAACCGGCGAUUUCCGAAUGGGGAAACCCAGUGUGUUUCGACACACUAUCAUUAACUGAAUCCAUAGGUUAAUGAGGCGAACCGGGGGAACUGAAACAUCUAAGUACCCCGAGGAAAAGAAAUCAACCGAGAUUCCCCCAGUAGCGGCGAGCGAACGGGGAGCAGCCCAGAGCCUGAAUCAGUGUGUGUGUUAGUGGAAGCGUCUGGAAAGGCGCGCGAUACAGGGUGACAGCCCCGUACACAAAAAUGCACAUGCUGUGAGCUCGAUGAGUAGGGCGGGACACGUGGUAUCCUGUCUGAAUAUGGGGGGACCAUCCUCCAAGGCUAAAUACUCCUGACUGACCGAUAGUGAACCAGUACCGUGAGGGAAAGGCGAAAAGAACCCCGGCGAGGGGAGUGAAAAAGAACCUGAAACCGUGUACGUACAAGCAGUGGGAGCACGCUUAGGCGUGUGACUGCGUACCUUUUGUAUAAUGGGUCAGCGACUUAUAUUCUGUAGCAAGGUUAACCGAAUAGGGGAGCCGAAGGGAAACCGAGUCUUAACUGGGCGUUAAGUUGCAGGGUAUAGACCCGAAACCCGGUGAUCUAGCCAUGGGCAGGUUGAAGGUUGGGUAACACUAACUGGAGGACCGAACCGACUAAUGUUGAAAAAUUAGCGGAUGACUUGUGGCUGGGGGUGAAAGGCCAAUCAAACCGGGAGAUAGCUGGUUCUCCCCGAAAGCUAUUUAGGUAGCGCCUCGUGAAUUCAUCUCCGGGGGUAGAGCACUGUUUCGGCAAGGGGGUCAUCCCGACUUACCAACCCGAUGCAAACUGCGAAUACCGGAGAAUGUUAUCACGGGAGACACACGGCGGGUGCUAACGUCCGUCGUGAAGAGGGAAACAACCCAGACCGCCAGCUAAGGUCCCAAAGUCAUGGUUAAGUGGGAAACGAUGUGGGAAGGCCCAGACAGCCAGGAUGUUGGCUUAGAAGCAGCCAUCAUUUAAAGAAAGCGUAAUAGCUCACUGGUCGAGUCGGCCUGCGCGGAAGAUGUAACGGGGCUAAACCAUGCACCGAAGCUGCGGCAGCGACGCUGAUGCGUUGUUGGGUAGGGGAGCGUUCUGUAAGCCUGCGAAGGUGUGCUGUGAGGCAUGCUGGAGGUAUCAGAAGUGCGAAUGCUGACAUAAGUAACGAUAAAGCGGGUGAAAAGCCCGCUCGCCGGAAGACCAAGGGUUCCUGUCCAACGUUAAUCGGGGCAGGGUGAGUCGACCCCUAAGGCGAGGCCGAAAGGCGUAGUCGAUGGGAAACAGGUUAAUAUUCCUGUACUUGGUGUUACUGCGAAGGGGGGACGGAGAAGGCUAUGUUGGCCGGGCGACGGUUGUCCCGGUUUAAGCGUGUAGGCUGGUUUUCCAGGCAAAUCCGGAAAAUCAAGGCUGAGGCGUGAUGACGAGGCACUACGGUGCUGAAGCAACAAAUGCCCUGCUUCCAGGAAAAGCCUCUAAGCAUCAGGUAACAUCAAAUCGUACCCCAAACCGACACAGGUGGUCAGGUAGAGAAUACCAAGGCGCUUGAGAGAACUCGGGUGAAGGAACUAGGCAAAAUGGUGCCGUAACUUCGGGAGAAGGCACGCUGAUAUGUAGGUGAAGUCCCUUGCGGAUGGAGCUGAAAUCAGUCGAAGAUACCAGCUGGCUGCAACUGUUUAUUAAAAACACAGCACUGUGCAAACACGAAAGUGGACGUAUACGGUGUGACGCCUGCCCGGUGCCGGAAGGUUAAUUGAUGGGGUCAGCGCAAGCGAAGCUCUUGAUCGAAGCCCCGGUAAACGGCGGCCGUAACUAUAACGGUCCUAAGGUAGCGAAAUUCCUUGUCGGGUAAGUUCCGACCUGCACGAAUGGCGUAAUGAUGGCCAGGCUGUCUCCACCCGAGACUCAGUGAAAUUGAACUCGCUGUGAAGAUGCAGUGUACCCGCGGCAAGACGGAAAGACCCCGUGAACCUUUACUAUAGCUUGACACUGAACAUUGAGCCUUGAUGUGUAGGAUAGGUGGGAGGCUUGGAAGUGUGGACGCCAGUCUGCAUGGAGCCGACCUUGAAAUACCACCCUUUAAUGUUUGAUGUUCUAACGUUGACCCGUAAUCCGGGUUGCGGACAGUGUCUGGUGGGUAGUUUGACUGGGGCGGUCUCCUCCUAAAGAGUAACGGAGGAGCACGAAGGUUGGCUAAUCCUGGUCGGACAUCAGGAGGUUAGUGCAAUGGCAUAAGCCAGCUUGACUGCGAGCGUGACGGCGCGAGCAGGUGCGAAAGCAGGUCAUAGUGAUCCGGUGGUUCUGAAUGGAAGGGCCAUCGCUCAACGGAUAAAAGGUACUCCGGGGAUAACAGGCUGAUACCGCCCAAGAGUUCAUAUCGACGGCGGUGUUUGGCACCUCGAUGUCGGCUCAUCACAUCCUGGGGCUGAAGUAGGUCCCAAGGGUAUGGCUGUUCGCCAUUUAAAGUGGUACGCGAGCUGGGUUUAGAACGUCGUGAGACAGUUCGGUCCCUAUCUGCCGUGGGCGCUGGAGAACUGAGGGGGGCUGCUCCUAGUACGAGAGGACCGGAGUGGACGCAUCACUGGUGUUCGGGUUGUCAUGCCAAUGGCACUGCCCGGUAGCUAAAUGCGGAAGAGAUAAGUGCUGAAAGCAUCUAAGCACGAAACUUGCCCCGAGAUGAGUUCU
Molecule: ribosomal RNA, 2773 nt
Filed under: Escherichia coli
Lineage: Bacteria; Pseudomonadati; Pseudomonadota; Gammaproteobacteria; Enterobacterales; Enterobacteriaceae
Also listed under: 1 other name
Description: bacterial LSU rRNA
Rfam family: Bacterial large subunit ribosomal RNA
Source: RNAcentral